UCCAGACUCCUACGGGAGGCAGCAGUGAGGAAUAUUGGUCAAUGGGCGGGAGCCUGAACCAGCCGAGCCGCGUGAAGGAAGAAGGCGCCAGGCGUCGUAAACUUCUUUUGUCGGGGAACAAAGGGCGCCACGUGUGGCGUUGUGAGUGUACCCGAAGAAAAAGCAUCGGCUAACUCCGUGCCAGCAGCCGCGGUAAUACGGAGGGUGCGAGCGUUAAUCGGAAUUACUGGGCGUAAAGCGCUCGUAGGCGGUAUGUCAAGUCAAGGGUGAAAUCCCCGCGCUCAACGUGGGAACUGCCUUUGAAACUGGCAAACUGGAGUGUGUGAGAGGAUAGUGGAAUUCCAGGUGUAGGAGUGAAAUCCGUAGAUAUCUGGAGGAACAUCAGUGGCGAAGGCGGCCACCUGGACCGGUAUUGACGCUGAGGCGCGAAAGCGUGGGGAGCAAACAGGAUUAGAUACCCGCGUAU
This 466-nucleotide ribosomal RNA is filed under the name uncultured bacterium. RNAcentral describes it as "bacterial SSU rRNA". It matches the Rfam family "Bacterial small subunit ribosomal RNA", at positions 330 to 793 of the family's 1533-position model. The record is from RNAcentral.